Molecule: ribosomal RNA, 379 nt
Filed under: uncultured bacterium
Lineage: Bacteria
Description: bacterial SSU rRNA
Rfam family: Bacterial small subunit ribosomal RNA
Source: RNAcentral
GUAGUCCACGCCGUAAACGAUGGAUGUUAGUCGUUGGACCUUUAAGGAUCAGUGACACAGUUAACACGUUAAACAUCCCGCCUGGGAAGUACGGCCGCAAGGCUAAAACUCAAAGGAAUUGACGGGGACCCGCACAAGCGGUGGAGCAUGUGGUUUAAUUCGAUGCUACGCGAAAAACCUUACCACCUUUUGACAUCUCUAUCGCCGGAUAUGUAAUAGUAUCCUUCGGUUCGGCCGGAUAGAAGACAGGUGUUGCAUGGCUGUCGUCAGCUCGUGUCGUGAGAUGUUGGGUUAAGUCCCGCAACGAGCGCAACCCUCAUCUUUAGUUACCAGCGGGUAAUGCCGGGAACUCUAAAGAAACUGCUCGUGAUAAGCGAGA